GCCCGGGUGGCGGAAUUGGGAGACGCGCUAGAUUCAGGGUCUAGUGCCCUUAGGGACGUGCUGGUUCGACUCCAGUCCUGGGCAC
RNAcentral lists this transfer RNA (85 nucleotides) under subsurface metagenome. Its description in RNAcentral is "tRNA-Leu". It matches the Rfam family "tRNA". Rfam says of the family: Transfer RNA (tRNA) molecules are approximately 80 nucleotides in length. The record is from RNAcentral.